Molecule: ribosomal RNA, 120 nt
Filed under: Planctomycetaceae bacterium
Lineage: Bacteria; Pseudomonadati; Planctomycetota; Planctomycetia; Planctomycetales; Planctomycetaceae
Source: RNAcentral
CCUGGUGACCCGAUUCCCAGGGGGCAACACCCGUUCCCAUUCCGACCACGGUCGUUAAGCCCCUGGGGCCGAUGAUACUGUCGGGAAUAACAUCGACGGGAAAGUAGGUUGUUGCCAGGC